Molecule: ribosomal RNA, 468 nt
Filed under: uncultured bacterium
Lineage: Bacteria
Description: partial 16S ribosomal RNA
Rfam family: Bacterial small subunit ribosomal RNA
Source: RNAcentral
GACGAACGCUGGCGGCGUGCUUAACACAUGCAAGUCGAACGGAAAGGCCCUGCUUUUGUGGGGUGCUCGAGUGGCGAACGGGUGAGUAACACGUGAGUAACCUGCCCUUGACUUUGGGAUAACUUCAGGAAACUGGGGCUAAUACCGGAUAGGAGCUCCUGCUGCAUGGUGGGGGUUGGAAGGUUUCGGCGGUUGGGGAUGAACUCGCGGCUUAUCAGCUUGUUGGUGGGGUAGUGGCUUACCAAGGCUUUGACGGGUAGCCGGCCUGAGAGGGUGAACGGCCACAUUAGGACUGAGAUACGGCCCAGACUCCUACGGGGGGCAGCAGUGGGGAAUAUUGCACAAUGGGCGGAAGCCUGAUGCAGCAACGCCGCGUGCGGGAUGACGGCCUUCGGGUUGUAAACCGCUUUCGCCUGUGACGAAGCGUGAGUGACGGUAAUGGGUAAAGAAGCACCGGCUAACUACGUG